CUGUUUGUAGUGCAGUAGGCCAAUAGCAUGAUAAUGGCAACAGGUCCUACCAUAUUUCCUACAGCCCUGAGGAGCCAGGCUUGUAUGCUGUCUGCAUCUAUGUGAAAGGGCAGCAUGUACAGGACUCUCCAUCCACUCUGAUGGUGAAAAACAAGGCCCAUGAGCAUGGAGGCGUGUGUCACUGCUGCAUGUUCUGCUCAGGCAGAGGGCAGACCAGAAAGCUGCUUGCUGUGCCUGUGGGGGGACCAUGUCAGGUAGGUACCAAGGCUGAGGCGAUGGACACAAAGGUCACUCUGGCUGCCCCCACUGGUCGUGCUGUGGGGAAGUGAAGGAGGGCUCAGAAUGUUUGGGUGGGCCUCCCAGCGACACCUCACAGAGGAGUUUGCUCAGAACAGCGGUGCUCUGGCUCCUCUGGCACUGCUGCUGGCUGCUGCAUGACUACAAACCAUGAGGAUCCCCGCAAUCACUGCAUGGCCUCGCUGCCAGAAAACAUCAUCGUGAUGGGUGUGAACUGAGAAAGGGAAUGAGGGAAAAUAAAAAUUUGUCUUAU
Non-coding RNA from Phalacrocorax carbo (great cormorant), 550 nucleotides. Lineage: Eukaryota; Metazoa; Chordata; Aves; Suliformes; Phalacrocoracidae. The record is from RefSeq and is a predicted model, not a curated record.